CCCACCAGCCAGAGCCCAAGCGAAGGGCCCGUCCGCUUGACUACUGGCCAGCUGGGCCCGCCCUUCUUCUCCUCCGCCUCCUUCUUCCUCUUCCUUUCCUUUCGUUGCCUCUCUCUCUCUCUCUCAGCGCGGAAGCCGACUCUCGGCCGGCAAACGCGAGCUCAGCCCUUCGGCGCUGACAGCCGCCGCCUCAACUGUCAGCCCCCACCAACCCCUCGCUGACCGCCCAGAACCACCAUAUUGAAUCCGGAGAACCCAGACAACCGGGUAAACCUCGUCCCGGCAGCCUCCGCGGCUCGUCAUGUGACCUGGGCGUGUGAGGGAAGAGGCGAGGCUUCAGCCGCCCAGCGAGCGAGGAAGAGGCGGCGGUGGUGGGGACGGGGGAAACCAACCAAAUAAACGCGAAAGCGGGAAGACGCCAAGCAAAUAAAUAAGGGUUGCCCAAGGAUAGCUGCUCUGUACGCCGUAUGCCUUUAAGCGGGAGGGCGUGUCAGGCCAAGUCAUUGGGUAGCACCGUCAGGCCCCUGAGGCGAGGCGAAAAGGGGAAGUAGCUGCUCUUCCGCCAUUAGUGUUACUGAGACGCCAACGCCGUUAAGCUCCUCCUUCCCGCAGCCUCUACCUCAGCCUGAGGCGAAGAAGGGAAGGAAGGGAAACUGAGUUGUUCUGGUUCGCAUUUGUCCCGUCNNNNNNNNNNNUUCAAACCAACCCGAGCGUUACAGGAACGUGACAGGAAAGAAGCAACGGAGCGUUUGCUUUUCCCUUCACUCCUGCUGCCCAGCUUCCCUGUCAUUUCGGGCGAAAAGAGGAAGGUUGUUAAAACUGAAGGCAGACGCUGUCUUGUCGAUCUUCGUAACUUGCCUUGGGAGCCUCCUUUUGGCAGACUGCAUGGCGGGGUGAAAAGACUUUAAAUAAAUAACAGGAUUCUGGACAGAGGACACUUCCUCAAGAGUGUAUGCUUGCUCUUAGAACCACACUAUUUAAUGACUCUGGAUGAAAUUUUGAGGGCAAGAAGUAACAUUUACGCAAAAACAGAAGAAGGCAAUGGCGGUGCUCCAGAUGUUGCAAGAGUGUCCCAUCAGCCGGACCCAGUUGAAUUUAAAAGAGUACGUAUUUAUGUCUGUGUUCAUAAUUUUUCCCCCGAACUGGUAUGAUAGCUUUUUGAUCUUCUGUUCUUAAAUGAAAAAGAAAAAGGUUCAUUUUUAUAUUUCCAUUGCCUUAAAUUUAAACAUUCUUAAUAUCCUGUUUUGAAGAGCAGGUUGGCGUAAUGGAAACGGAAAAGAAACAAAACCUGGAAGCAAAACAAACAAAUAAAUCCCUAGUGACCCAGCCUAUUUAAUGGGCA
This 1342-nucleotide long non-coding RNA is filed under the name Pogona vitticeps (central bearded dragon). Its description in RNAcentral is "lncRNA (ENSPVIG00000013976.1)". Lineage: Eukaryota; Metazoa; Chordata; Lepidosauria; Squamata; Agamidae. The record is from RNAcentral.